GGAUGUGAGGACAAUUUGGCUGCAAAAUCUGUUGAUUGCCAGGGUUGAUUUGGCUGAUCUGGCUGGCUAGGCAGGUGUCCCCUUCCUCUCUCAACAUCCAUGUGCUUCCCUCUAGAAGUUGUGCUCUUAGUCUUAGAGGACAACAUUUCCCAACAGUGGAAGACCUGAGUAGCUGAGUAGCUGUUAUUCCCUGCUUGAACCUCCAAACAAGCUCUCAAAUAGUAUUUAGCAGCAUCCUGUUAUGUCACGUUGUUAGUUCUUCUAAUUAGGAAAUU
This 275-nucleotide small nuclear RNA is filed under the name Nannospalax galili (Upper Galilee mountains blind mole rat). RNAcentral's name for it is "7SK RNA (ENSNGAG00000008190.1)". It matches the Rfam family "7SK RNA". Rfam says of the family: 7SK was discovered as an abundant small nuclear RNA in the mid-70s but a possible function has only recently been suggested. Two independent studies have found that 7SK RNA binds the CDK9/cyclin T complex (known as elongation factor P-TEFb). P-TEFb activates transcription by phosphorylating the C-terminal domain of RNA polymerase II. The record is from Rfam by way of RNAcentral. Lineage: Eukaryota; Metazoa; Chordata; Mammalia; Rodentia; Spalacidae.